CAUACUACUUUGCCCUAUUAGUAUCUAAAUACACAAAUGUUGUAUCAUUGUCAAGUGAGACAACUCUUUACUGUUUUUUUUUAAUUGAUUAGAAUUACGUUUUUAAUCAUGUUAAUAUUAAUCAAAGACAUAUACUACUUUGCUUUCUUAGUAUGAAAAAGCAAAAAUGUGGCAUUAUUGUCAACUGAGACAAUUUUGAAUUAAAUAGCAUUAUCAUGAUUAUGUUUAUAAAAUCAAUUUAAUUCACCAAAUCUCAUUGUUCGAAAAAAAAAAACAACAUUCUACUUUAUACAAAUGGAAUUUUUUCUAAGUCAUAAAAUAUGCGAAUACUUUAUAAAAAAAAAACUGUAAGCGCUUUAUCAACACUUUUCUUUUUCAUUUUUUAUCUUUAUCAUCUGAGUGUGAUGCAGCACCAUCAGUACCGGAUUGACGUCAGGGUGAGAUGUAUGGAUCAUAUAAUCAGCCUCUAAACAUGGAUAUGGACCAUAGAGGUAGCAUCUAAACACGGGACGAUUUACUACACUGCAUAAAUGAUAAUGUUUGCCGACAUCAAUCUAUCGGACCAUUGGUAGAAUUUUGCAAAACUUUACAUUGGUCAAACUGAAUUGUUAAAACGCUGCAAAAAGUGGUCUAUAAUUCCAAUAAAUUAUGCGAUGAUACGAAUAUAAAAAUUAGACGAUGUGGUGAGAUUGGCAAUGAGACAACUCUUCGCAAGAGACAGUUUUAAAAGUUGAAAUUGAUUUAAUUAAUUUGAAAAAUAAAACAAAUAUAAGUGGGAAUAAUACAGGGAAAAAAAGUUACAGAAAGAGCUUCAAAUGAUGAAAGAAUAAGACGUCCACAUGUUUAAUUAUAAUCAGGAGUGAACUAAGGAACGUAUGAAUUAAACAAUGAAAUAUCGAAUGGAUAAAAUAAAUAUACUCUUUGAGUAUACAGUGAUUUCAAUAUCAUGAAUAUUGCGACAAGAGACAUAGUAUGUUUCCCACCAUGACAUUUCCUGGGUUCUUUGCG
This is a long non-coding RNA of Mytilus californianus (California mussel), 1008 nucleotides long. RefSeq lists it as uncharacterized. Lineage: Eukaryota; Metazoa; Mollusca; Bivalvia; Mytilida; Mytilidae. The record is from RefSeq and is a predicted model, not a curated record. The transcript has 3 exons.